RNAcentral lists this long non-coding RNA (759 nucleotides) under Elaeis guineensis (African oil palm). RNAcentral describes it as "long non-coding RNA (EGUI_LNC004615)". The record is from RNAcentral. Lineage: Eukaryota; Viridiplantae; Streptophyta; Magnoliopsida; Arecales; Arecaceae.
AAUCUAGAGCCCCUUGCCCAUGUUUGAUGAAAAGCCAAGGCUAAAUUGUGGAACUCAUCAUCCAUAUCUGGGAGCGCAGGCUGGCCAGAUUUAGUAAAAUGGAUGUCCUUGGGAUUGUUAGCCAUUAUUAAUUGAGCAGCGGCUUAUUGCAGCAUGUCUUGUGGCAACAAAACUGAGAAUACUCUUGGUAUAGAAAUUGUCAAGAGGUCAGAGUAAGCCAUUGCUUGGGGACACAUUUGAACAUGAGGUGGUACUUCAGAAGGCAGGUGAGAACGAAACUAGGCCAUCUUGUAGACCAAAGAUGGAAUUAAGUAAAAGCUCAGUCAACAGUGUAAAAGGGCUUGUUUCAUGGUUAUUGAAAAUUUAAAAUAGAGGUUUUAACGCAUGGUGAGAAGAGAAUUUUGUUGGCAAUAUUAGCAUCCUUGUCUAAGAUUUAAGUACCAGUAUGACUUGGUUUUGAAAGUCUAAUGGGGGUUCCCUUGCUUAAACAUGGGAUAAAUGCCAAGCGCAAUUUACUUUGUGAGAAGAUAGCUAUCCGUGACAAUCUGGUCAAAUCAGGGAUAAUGGCUUAAUUCUAUAAUGUAAGUUUCCAGUAUUAGCUAUGCCUAGGUGAUUUAAACCCAUUUAAUUUUUGUUUUAUCCAAAGAUGAUCCAUUUAAAAUGUGUGGUGCAAUUUUUAUGGCGUCAUAUUUUAUGUUAAAUAUUUUAGAAAAGUUUUAAAAAUCUUAAACUCAAUGAUGCAUCAUUAAAAUUGAAAAU